GCCAKCGCAGCCUACACAUGCAAGUCGAGGGGUAGAAARAGCUUGCUUUUUUGAGACCGGCGCACGGGUGAGUAACSCGUAUGCAACCUACCUUAUACAGGGGAAUAGCCCGAAGAAAUUCGGAUUAAUGCUCCAUGGUUUAUCGAUAUGGCAUCGUAUUGAUAAUAAAGAUUUAUCGGUAUAAGAUGGGCAUGCGUAUCAUUAGCUAGUUGGUGUGGUAACGGCAUACCAAGGCAACGAUGAUUAGGGGUCCUGAGAGGGAGAUCCCCCACACUGGUACUGAGACACGGACCAGACUCCUACGGGAGGCAGCAGUGAGGAAUAUUGGUCAAUGGAGGCAACUCUGAACCAGCCAUGCCGCGUGCAGGAUGACGGUCCUAUGGAUUGUAAACUGCUUUUGUACAGGAAGAAACCUCCCUACGAGUAGGGACUUGACGGUACUGUAAGAAUAAGGAUCGGCUAACUCCGUGCCAGCAGCCGCGGUAAUACGGAGGAUCCGAGCGUUAUCCGGAAUUAUUGGGUUUAAAGGGUUCGUAGGCGGCUUUGUAAGUCAGUGGUGAAAUUUCCUAGCUUAACUAGGACACUGCCAUUGAUACUGCAGAGCUUGAAUAGUAUGGAAGUAACUAGAAUAUGUAGUGUAGCGGUGAAAUGCUUAGAUAUUACAUGGAAUACCAAUUGCGAAGGCAGGUUACUACGUAUUUAUUGACGCUGAUGAACGAAAGCGUGGGGAGCGAACAGGAUUAGAUACCCUGGUAGUCCACGCCGUAAACGAUGGAUACUAGCUGUUCGGUUUUCGGACUGAGUGGCUAAGCGAAAGUGAUAAGUAUCCCACCUGGGGAGUACGUUCGCAAGAAUGAAACUCAAAGGAAUUGACGGGGGCCCGCACAAGCGGUGGAGCAUGUGGUUUAAUUCGAUGAUACGCGAGGAACCUUACCAGGGCUUAAAUGUAGAUUGACGGAUUUGGAAACAGAUUUUUCUUCGGACAAUUUACAAGGUGCUGCAUGGUUGUCGUCAGCUCGUGCCGUGAGGUGUCAGGUUAAGUCCGAUGACGAGCGCAACCCCAAUUGUUAGUUACCAGCGCGUAAUGGCCGGGGACUCUAGCAAGACUGCCGGUGCAAACC
Molecule: ribosomal RNA, 1121 nt
Filed under: Myroides odoratimimus
Lineage: Bacteria; Pseudomonadati; Bacteroidota; Flavobacteriia; Flavobacteriales; Flavobacteriaceae
Description: bacterial SSU rRNA
Rfam family: Bacterial small subunit ribosomal RNA
Source: RNAcentral